Pan troglodytes (chimpanzee) is the source of this 363-nucleotide long non-coding RNA. RefSeq lists it as uncharacterized. The record is from RefSeq and is a predicted model, not a curated record. The transcript is spliced from 2 exons. NCBI's taxonomy places the organism in Eukaryota, Metazoa, Chordata, Mammalia, Primates, Hominidae.
UCUUGAUCUCCUGACCUCGUGAUCCGCCCGCCUCAGCCUCCCAAAGUGCUGGGAUUACAGUCGUGAGCCACCGCGCCCGGCCCAGAACCAGAUUUCUGAGACAGAAUGAUCAGGGUCAGAGAUGACAUUUAGGAUGACAAGUUUAAGGGUAAUUGGUUGUUACAAGAGACAAGAAAGAGCAAUAGUGAAAAUAAACACAGGCACAAGGCAGAAGCAUUUUCUUCCACUUCAACAGAGCUCCUAUGCCUAAACAGGGCAGGGGAACUGUGGAUGUCACAGUGCCGUUAACAGUAAAGCCAAGUGACAUGAGUUUGUCUAUGUAACAAACCUGCACAUGUACUCCUGAAUCUAAAAUAAAAAUUU